Molecule: ribosomal RNA, 429 nt
Filed under: Acidobacteriota bacterium
Lineage: Bacteria; Pseudomonadati; Acidobacteriota
Description: Acidobacteria bacterium partial 16S ribosomal RNA
Rfam family: Bacterial small subunit ribosomal RNA
Source: RNAcentral
UGGGGAAUUUUGGACAAUGGGGGAAACCCUGAUCCAGCCAUCCCGCGUGUGCGAUGAAGGCCUUCGGGUUGUAAAGCACUUUUGGCAGGAAAGAAACGUCAUGGGUUAAUACCCCGUGAAACUGACGGUACCUGCAGAAUAAGCACCGGCUAACUACGUGCCAGCAGCCGCGGUAAUACGUAGGGUGCAAGCGUUAAUCGGAAUUACUGGGCGUAAAGCGUGCGCAGGCGGUUCGGAAAGAAAGAUGUGAAAUCCCAGAGCUCAACUUUGGGACUGCAUUUUUAACUACCGGGCUAGAGUGUGUCAGAGGGAGGUGGAAUUCCGCGUGUAGCAGUGAAAUGCGUAGAUAUGCGGAGGAACACCGAUGGCGAAGGCAGCCUCCUGGGAUAACACUGACGUUCAUGCACGAAAGCGUGGGGAGCAAACAGG